Non-coding RNA from Paragonimus skrjabini miyazakii, 71 nucleotides. Lineage: Eukaryota; Metazoa; Platyhelminthes; Trematoda; Plagiorchiida; Troglotrematidae. The record is from the annotation of a GenBank genome assembly.
GUCAUUGGCGGAGUGGUUAACGCGGUUGCCUCCUGAACAGCUUGUCCCUGGUUCUAGUCCCGGCAGUGGCG